RNAcentral lists this ribosomal RNA (253 nucleotides) under uncultured bacterium. RNAcentral's name for it is "partial 16S ribosomal RNA". It matches the Rfam family "Bacterial small subunit ribosomal RNA", at positions 524 to 776 of the family's 1533-position model. The record is from RNAcentral.
UACGAACUGUGCAAACGUUAUUCGGAAUCACUGGGCUUAAAGGGUGCGUAGGCGGCCAUUUAAGUAGGGUGUGAAAGCCCCCGGCUUAACCGGGGAAUUGCGUCCUAAACUGGGUGGCUGGAGUGAGAUAGAGGUGUGUGGAACUUCCGGUGGAGCGGUGAAAUGUGUUGAUAUCGGAAGGAACGCCGGUGGCGAAAGCGACACACUGGGUCUCAACUGACGCUGAGGCACGAAAGCCAGGGGAGCGAACGGG